AUAUUGUACAAUAUUAUUAUAAUACAGUACUAAUGCAACACACCAGCAUAAAAAUAAUACAAUACAACAUAAUAUAAUACAGUGUGCCAAACGCACCCUUAUACUUUUUUGGCAAUCACGACAUAAUUAGGGUCGAUGUAUCUGAAAAUUAAAAGUAAUUUAAGCGCUAAAAGAGUGUAAUGAUCGAGGGAGCAUUACAUAUAGCAAAGUGGAUCAUGGAACAAAGUUGUGAAUUGAAGACACCAAUCUGAUUCUGAUUCUGAUUCUUCAAGGUUUGGUGGCAGCCAAGGUGUUUGCAAUAUCAAUGACAAAUCGAUACCGAACAUCAGCCUUGGCAAGCCGCUCCAUUGCCGUAUUGACAUAAUCCAUCGAAAUAACCUCAAUGUCAGCUGUUAUAUUGUGUUUUGCUGCAAAAUCAAUCAUCUCUUGCGUCUCUUUCAUUCCCCCAAUGCUGCUCCCUGACACCGUCUUCCUCCCUGCUAUGUCAUUUUAUGUUAUCAAAUGACUUAUAUUAAUUACAAGUUUUAGACCACAAGUUUCCGAAGAAUUUUGUUAGAACUUACCCAUAAUUAAGGAAAUCACAGGUAGCUCGAGUGGCUUGUCCGGAGCACCAACCAGAACAAGCUUGCCCUGGGACUUUAAUAGACCGAGCAAUGGCAAAAUGGGGUGCACAGCGGACACCGUGUCAAUAAUACCAUCCAAUGUGCCCAUGGCACCCUGAUGAAGUUAUUACAAAAUAUAUAUUAAAAUUAAGGAAUGCAUUUUAUUUUUUAUUUUUCUCCAAUAUAUGCGUGAAUCUAAUUAAAUUACCUGCAAUUGGUCAGGGUCACGGCUAUUCAAAAAUGAAUCAGCGCCAAGAUGUUCAAGAGCUUCAGUCUUCUUGCUUGGAGAGGUGCUAAUUACUGUCACUUUGGCCCCAAAAGCCUUGGCAAAUUUGACAGCGACAUGACCAAGCCCGCCAAGGCCAACGAUGCCUACAUGCUUUCCUUGUUCUGCUAGUUCAAAGUAUUUCAAUGGACUGUACACGGUAAUCCCGGCGCAAAGCAGGGGAGCAGCAGCAUCAAGGGGCAUGCUAUCAGGGAAUCGAACAAUGUAGCGCUCAUUGGCAACCAUGUGAUCAGAGUAGCCUCCGUAUGUGAUUGUUCCGUCAGUGUUAAUGGAAGUGUAGGUGGGUAUCACUUUCGGACAGUAAUUUUCAAGGUCAUUGGCACAGCUCUCGCAGCUGUGGCAUGCACCAACCAUGCAUCCAACUCCAACUUUAUCUCCCACUUUAACCUUUCUUACUUUGCUACCAACUUCUGUCACUUCCCCUGCAAUUUCAUGCCUGCAAAUAAAUACAAUUUGUUUAUGAUAAAUUACUUUAGUGGAAACAAGGUAUUUGAUUCUGUUUUUGACAAUAUAUAACUAGCUAGCUUCUGGAAACGUAUAUACUACACCACUCCACCAACUUUUCUUUUGUCAGUAAGUUUCUCAAUCAUAAAAUUCUUCAAGCAAAGAAAUUUGAAAUUUGAAAAUUUACAAGUCUUCAUUUGAAUGCAAAUUCAAGUUACAAGUCAUGUCUCCGUUUAUUUGUCAACCUCGUCUAUCCCUCAAGUAAAAUCUCAUAAUUGACCAUUCCGCAAUUACACAGGUGUACCAUUUUGAUGGGUUAAGUCUUUAGUGUGAUCUCAACACUCUAAUGAUGCCAAGGCACCCCACUGGCCACUACACUGGAAUAUUUAAAAAUUGUACAGAGUCAAAUGGAAAUAAAUUAAUUUUAUUGGGAAAAAAAAAAGAUAUCUAUGCUAACAACGCUUUAAUUGAGUUAAUUGUUAUUUCCACCCUUUAUUUAUAAGAUAGAGAGUAUAAAUCUACCAAGAGUUAUGAAGAUAAUGUAUAAGAAAAAUACAUAUUUUCAUCCAAUAUAUUUUAUUUUAUAUUACAUUAAAAUUUGUGUGUCUCUAUUUUUGUUUAAUUUGUUGUAAGAAAAUCUUAUUAAACGAUGAUGACCCGUAAAUAUAUAUGUUUGCCACUUUUAACAGGAGAUUCCAGUUAUUCAUCACAUCAAAUAUGGAACGGUAAGAUUAAAACCCUCGUUACCAAUAUUUCACUAGCACCUCUAUAUAAGAUAGAAUUAAAUAGGAUUGGGGACGAUUUGUAUCAAAUUAAAAGAUCCCAAAGCCUUGGCCUUGGUUAAUCUCUUUCUGUAUACACAGGCAAGUACCGUAGUUAAUAAUUAGGGAGCGCCGUGACGGAAACAACAGCCUGUUCAUGCGUAGCUGGGUUUGACCCGAAACAAAAACAAAUGCAAAAAAAAAUGCAAAAGAAACAAAAAUUGAAGGGUAGAUAGAUCAUGGGUACAUACCCAGGAACCAUAGGGAAGAGAGAGAAGCCCCAUUCAUUCUUGAUGUUGUGGAGAUCAGUAUGGCAGAUCCCACAAUACAAUACCUUCAGCCUCACAUCCUCAUCACCCGUUUCCCUGUCCGUAUUUUACAUAUCCACGUUUAUGACCAUUUCAUCAACACGUACAGUAACAAAAUUUUAAAUAAAUUUAAAGCAGCAUCACACAUAUAUAUUAUGCUCAACUAUUAAUUACCUUCUGGAGAAGUUGAAUGGGGAGAGAUGGCCGGAGCUGUCUCGGGCUGCCCACCCAAAGGCCUUUACUGGAUGUUCUUCUUCUGGUGAUUUUGCCAUUUUGGAUGAGAGAACGGCAAUGUUAUCAUUAUUAUAGUGGUUUGAAUGAUGUGAUGAGACGAGUAAAAGUACCAGUUUUUGUUUAUGCUUCAUAUGAAUGUUAAUGUGUGUACAGAUGUUUCUAAUCAAGAUUUUUUAUUAUAUUAAAGAGAAGAUAAAUUAAAAAAUAUAAAUACAAAAUUUAAUAUAAUAUAUUUUAUUUUAUAAUAUAUUCAUUGUUUAGUGAGGUUCACUUAUGUUGCAACUAUAAUAUGGUACCGCAUUUACUUUCAGCAGUCCGAUAUAGCUAACGUAACUGUGUAAUUAUGGAUUUAACAACUGAUUUAGUGAUGAUUUCAAUAUAUUAAGUUAUUAACGGAUAAAAAAAUAUAAUUUUAAUUUUUUAAUACAUUAAAGUCGGUGUUUUUUUUUUAUAUUUUGUUAAUAUCUUCACCUUAAUAAAGUGAAGAUGUCAUAAUCGAGAAAAAUUAUAUAUAAUGAAGACUAAUUAGAUAAUAUUAUAAUUUUUAAAAUAAUUAUUAUUAGAUGUGAUGUAGAAAUAACUGCUGUACCGUACAUCCGCCUUGGCCGUUUUUUAUUGUGUAUAUAUAAUAAUUAUUAAUAAACAUAAUAUAUAUAAUAAUUUUUUAUCUCAAUAUUAUUGAUAAUGAUAAUAAUCUCUUCAAAAUAAUUUUAUUUUAUAAUUAAUAUGAAUAAUUUAAAAUUUUCCUAAUAUAUAUAAAAAAAUCAGUUUUUAACUUUUAAAUUAUUUUCGAGGAUCUCAAAAAUAAUAAUUAUCGGGAACAGGCUAACAGCAGGGAGGUGGAGAGAGGGGGUCAUAAAUUUUGCUAUUUAAAUUUUCCUAAUAUAUAAAAAAAAUCAGUUUUUAACUUUAAAAUUAUUUUCGAGCAUCUCAAAAAUAAUAAUUAUCGGGAACAGGCUGACAGCAGGGAGGUGGAGAGAGGGGGUCAUAAAUUUUGCUGAAGUAAUCAGUGAGCUAACAUGUGACAUACGGAUGCGCUAUGUAUGGGAUGUCCACCGUCAAUGACAUGGCGGACCAGCGAGAUACUUCUUGGGUCAGCUUCACCAUUAUUAUUAUUAUUAUUAUUCAAUUCCUAGUGUCGCAAACUCAAAGGUGGAUACCUGUCAAAAGCAACACCACGAACAACCAUUAUGAGACUUACGGCAAAAUGAGAACCCAGCGCGCUGAUUCGGUGGAAUUAAUGAUCACAAAAAUUUGAUUUUUUUUAAAAAAUAAUUACAAAUAUUUUUUUUGAUAAAUUUUAAAGGCUAAUGUGAAUUUUGUUGUUUUUUUACUUUUUAACAUAAAGAAUAUCAUAAGGUAUUGUAUAACUAUUGUUCAAUAAAAAAUUAAAUUUAUAUAUUUUUAAAAAGAUAAGACCUUAUCUUAAUUUAAAUUCUUUUGAAUUUUUAAAAAUCUUGCAGUUAAAUUCAAAUUAAAUAAAGAUAAAAAUAAAUUUGUGUAAUUAUUUUUAAAAAUAAAAAAUAUUUUUGUGAAUUUUUUUAAACUGGGAGAAUAUUAAUAUUUUUUUAUACUUAAAAUUUAUUUAUUAAACAUCUUGGAAAAAAAUUAAUUAAACUGGGAGAAUAUUGAUAUUUUUUUUCAAAUACCAAUAGAAUCCUAUCAAAGAGCCUUCUAGAAUAACCAGAUGCUGAGUAUUUAUAAUGUACACAUUAACAAUUAUUAUCUUAAAUAAUAAGACGUUUAUCCUCCUAAAUAUGAUAAAAAUAUUACAUUUCAUAGUGUACACAUGGACGGCCUAUCUUCUGGUAGCAGAAUAAAUUGAGAGUACCAGUCUAUCGUUGGAUUUGUAGCCCAAUGAUCAUUUGUGCUGAAACUUAGAUUUUCUUAACCAUCCAAACAAAUGGAACACCGUAUCAAUUUGAUUAAUAUUAUUAAGAUAUAUAUGCAUGCAAAUUAGUCAUGAAAACUCAUCCACAAAAAGUUAGAAAUUUUACCUUAAAAUGAACCGACAAUUUUAAAAGAUGUUCAAAAAUAUUUAUGAAAUGUAAGAAACAUACUCUUCUAAUUGGAUCAUGAUUCUCUCUUAAUAUGAUUUUCUUUUGAGUAAGUUUUAGGGGUGGCAAAACGAAUAAACGAAUCGAAUUCGAAUCGAAUCGUAAAUGAAUUGGGUCAAAAUUCUAUGGAUUCGAAUUCGAUUCGUUUAUUAAAAGAAUUGAAAUUUCAAGAUUCGGAUUCGAUUCGUUUAUUAAACGAAUAUUCGGUUCAAUUCGUUUAAUUCGUUUAAUAGAAUUGAUAAACGAAUCGAAUCGAAUCCGGAUUCGUUUAUUAUUCGUUUAUCCUUUACGAAUCCAUAACGAAUCGAAUCGAAUCAGGAUUCGUUUACAAUUCGUUUAGAAAAAUAUAAUUAAUAAACAAAAUUAAGCAAAAAAAACACAAAUUUAAUAUCCCACAACAAAAUACAAAUAAUUCAAAUCAUAUUAUACAGUCAUCCAAAUAACAAAUACCAAAUCCUUAAUAUUACAAAUAACAAUAAUUCAAAUUGAAAUUAUAAAGAAAUGUAAUUUCUUUAAUUCUUUUCAUUUGUCUUUGUCACCUUGAAAACAAAAAUCCUACACGAAAAAAUAAAUAAAAUGUUAUUAACAUGCUCCAAUAUUGAUAAUAGUCAUUGUAAAAUUUCAAAAAUCAAAUAUAUAGCAAAUUUGUAGCAUUUUCAAGGAAAUAAUAAUUAAACAAGAUAAAAACCUUACCUAACACUGUCAUUUGGAUCAUUUGCACUCUCUACAGAUGGAGCACAAUUAGUGCUCAUGUUCAUAAACUAAUAAAUCAAAGAAAAAGUCUAACAGAGAAAUUAACAUACAUAAUCACUUUCAAGCACCAUUACCAAGACCACGAAUCUAUUCAUCAUGUAUGCCAAAUUCUAACCCGGCAAUAUUCCUAAUGCACAAUAUUCCAAUACACAAAAUAUUAACAAUACAACAUAAUAAAUUAUAAAUUCUAAUACUAAAAAAAAUUUUAAUCCAAUAUUUGUGGGAGCUUCUUCCUUAUCCUACAGAUAAUUUUUAACACCAUAAUCGAUUUAUACAUAAUUUCAUAAUAUUUUCCGAACAAUACAAAACAUUUUAAAUGCAGUGCGUUUAUGUGCGACAGGCACCUGUCCCACUUGCCUGUCUCACUAAAUUUCAUAUAUGUUUCGAAAGCCAUAACUUGAGCUAUAUAUGUUCGUUUUAGGCGUAUAAUAUACCGUUUCGAAGUUUACGACGAGACAAAUCAAAUCCAAAAUCAUGUAUUCCGUAAACGCCGUGAGUUUAUGUGCGAUAAGCAGUGGGACAGGUGCCUAUCGCACAUAAAUGCAGUGCGUUUAUGUGCGACAGGCACCUGUCCCACUUGCCUGUCUCACUAAAUUUCAUAUAUGUUUCGAAAGCCAUAACUUGAGCUAUAUAUGUUCGUUUUAGGCGUAUAAUAUACCGUUUCGAAGUUUACGACGAGACAAAUCAAAUCCAAAAUCAUGUAUUCCGUAAACGCCGUGAGUUUAUGUGCGAUAAGCAGUGGGACAGGUGCCUAUCGCACAUAAAUGCAGUGCGUUUAUGUGCGACAGGCACCUGUCCCACUUGCCUGUCUCACUAAAUUUCAUAUAUGUUUCGAAAGCCAUAACUUGAGCUAUAUAUGUUCGUUUUAGGCGUAUAAUAUACCGUUUCGAAGCUUACGACGAGACAAAUCAAAUCCAAAAUCAUGUAUUCCGUAAACGCCGUGAGUUUAUGUGCGAUAAGCAGUGGGACAGGUGCCUAUCGCACAUAAAUGCAGUGCGUUUAUGUGCGACAGGCACCUGUCCCACUUGCCUGUCUCACUAAAUUUCAUAUAUGUUUCGAAAGCCAUAACUUGAGCUAUAUAUGUUCGUUUUAGGCGUAUAAUAUACCGUUUCGAAGCUUACGACGAGACAAAUCAAAUCCAAAAUCAUGUACUCCAUAAAAUCCAUGGGUUUAUGCGCGACAAGCAAUGGAACAGGUGCCAUGGCUUUGUAAAUUUGAAAAAGUGGCAUGGCUUUGUAAAUUUGAUGAAAGUGAUGAGGGUAAUGUAGUCCAAACAUAAGGUGUUUGGCUAGUUAUGAUAGAAAAAACUUUGGGGGGUUAAAGUUGAAAAACGUAAAAGUUUUAUGGCUAAUUUUGUAAAUUUCCCAAACAUUUUCUAAACCAUAAUCUCAUAAUAUUCUACAAUACAAAAUUUCUCAAUAAUUCAACCAUAAUCUCAUGAUAUUACUCUGAGUUGGUGAUGGCUUGUUGAUUCGGGUCGCCUGGGCACUAGUUCGGGUCGCAGUCGCCUGGGUUUGCUGCUGCUGCACCGCCGCACGGGUUAGCCACUACUGUGGGUUCGAGUGGCUGCUAAUACGUUGCGCAGCUGAUGCUCCUGGGUUGCUGCCGAGUCGCGGGCUGCACUCGCGUGGCUGCGUCCCUCAAGCUCAAUCGACGAUAGAUGAACGAUGGUGGUUGUAAUCGUCGGUUCGCUGUGAGUUAAUGACAAGUUCCCUGUGAGUUAAUGACAGUGGCUACCGGCGGUUGUUUUUGUUGCUUGAUUGCUUCACUUGGUAUGGGUGGGUGAGUGUGAUUCGUGUGAGAGAGGUAGAGAGCAACGAGAGCGGCUGAGUGAGGGGAGAAUUUUUAGGGAUUUAGCCUUUAGGUUUCCGCUACUUUGUUUUUUUUUUUGGUUAUUUUCUUAAAAGUAAAUUUUCAAACCCGCAUUCGAUUCGUUUAAUUAACGAAUCAAAUCGAAUUCAUCCAUUUAUUAAACGAAUCAAUUUUUUUCAAACCCAAACCCAUUUAAUUCGCAUCGAAUCGAAUCGAAUAAACGAAUCCUGACCUAUAUUGCCACCCCUAACUGUAAUAGCAAAUCAAAUAGUAAGUUUUAUAUUUUAUUAAAGUGAUUGGUAAUUAACAAAUUAAAAAAUAAAGGUAGUUAAAUUCUAAUUAUAUACUAACACUAAAAUAUAGGUAGCACAAGCAGAGCUUAGAUCAUAUCAUGUACAUCAUAUACAUACCAUUAUAGAUCAUGUACUACUAUAUACAUACCACAUACCAUUUUAGAUAUGGAUUUUACUAUUCUCUCUCUCUCUCUCUUUUUCAAUCAUAGUACAUAUUAAGAUCUACAAAAAAAAAAAAGAAUAAAUGAAAUUUCAUGAUAGAUUUGAUGGGGUGGUAAAACUUGAACUAUAUUCAUCUUGAUAGAAUCAUCCAUCAUGCAUCAACAUUGGGGGUGAACCGUGAGGUCCUAAGAAAAUGCUUCCAUUGACCGAUGAAGUUUUGUUUGUUUUCUUUGGUUGCAAAGUCGAAUAAGGAUUACGUGCUAAAUUAAAUUUUUACUGGAUAUUGAAUCAAUAGUUAUUAAUAGGAGAAAUUGUAAAAAUUUAAAAAUUUAAAACAAUUUUAACUAUUAAUUCAAUGAUUGAUUCAAUACUCGAUAAAAAUUUAACAUAACACUAAACCCUAAUCCAGAGAAAUUUUCUGUUGGAAAACAUAUAUGCAGCGUUGAAAAUUGUGAUAUGAAUUCAUGAGCCAUUUAGGACAAUCGUAUAUUUUUGUUCAAGGUCAGAGGAACCUAGACGCUGCUGUUGCUACAUACCUUUGCAAAUAUGAUUUUAUAGAUUUCUGCCAUCUAUACUAAUUUUAUUGAAUUAUACGACUUGAUAGUGUUGGUACGAGAAGAAAAAAAAAAUGAAAAGUGCCGCAUGAGAGCAAAACUCUAUAUGUGAUUUAGAACAAAACAAACUUUUCAACUGGACAAUUGGUGAAAGGUACAUAUGCUAAAUAUUUUAUAUGAACAAUGUUUUAUUUCAUUAACAUUUAUAGUUUUUUGGCAAUCACGACAUAAUUAGGGUGAUGUAACUGGAAAUUAAAAGUAAUUUAAGCGCUAAAAGAGUGUAAUGAUCGAGGGAGCAUUACAUAUAGCAAAGUGGAUCAUGGAACAAAGUUGUGAAUUGAAGACACCAAUCUGAUUCUGAUUCUGAUUCUUCAAGGUUUGGUGGCGGCCAAGGUGUUUGCAAUAUCAAUGACAAAUCGAUACCGAACAUCAGCCUUGGCGAGCCGCUCCAUUGCCGUAUUGACAUAAUCCAUCGAAAUAACCUCAAUGUCAGCUGUUAUAUUGUGUUUUGCUGCAAAAUCAAUCAUCUCUUGCGUCUCUUUCAUUCCCCCAAUGCUGCUCCCUGACACCGUCUUCCUCCCUGCUAUGUCAUUUUAUGUUAUCAAAUGAAUUAUAUUAAUUACAAGUUUUAGACCACAAGUUUCCGAAGAAUUUUGUUAGAACUUACCCAUAAUUAAGGAAAUCACAGGUAGCUCGAGUGGCUUGUCCGGAGCACCAACCAGAACAAGCUUGCCCUGGGACUUUAAUAGACCGAGCAAUGGCAAAAUGGGGUGCACAGCGGACACCGUGUCAAUAAUACCAUCCAAUGUGCCCAUGGCACCCUGAUGAAGUUAUUACAAAAUAUAUAUUAAAAUUAAGGAAUGCAUUUUAUUUUUUAUUUUUCUCCAAUAUAUGCGUGAAUCUAAUUAAAUUACCUGCAAUUGGUCAGGGUCACGGCUAUUCAAAAAUGAAUCAGCGCCAAGAUGUUCAAGAGCUUCAGUCUUCUUGCUUGGAGAGGUGCUAAUUACUGUCACUUUGGCCCCAAAAGCCUUGGCAAAUUUGACAGCGACAUGACCAAGCCCGCCAAGGCCAACGAUGCCUACAUGCUUUCCUUGUUCUGCUAGUCCAAAGUAUUUCAAUGGACUGUACACGGUAAUCCCGGCGCAAAGCAGAGGAGCAGCAGCAUCAAG
RNAcentral lists this long non-coding RNA (9435 nucleotides) under Citrus sinensis (sweet orange). RNAcentral describes it as "long non-coding RNA (CSIN_LNC000389)". The record is from RNAcentral. Lineage: Eukaryota; Viridiplantae; Streptophyta; Magnoliopsida; Sapindales; Rutaceae.